AUUCCCCGCCACAAAACCCUAACCCGAAUAAAAAUAUCUUCCUCGUCUUCUUGGUUUCUUCCUUUCCCUCUUUCGGCUGGAGCUCCGCGUGAGGAAGGAGACGAUGUCGCACUUCGGGAGAUCGGGGCCGCCGGACAUCUCCGACACCUACUCUCUCCUCGUCCUGAACAUCACCUUCCGGACGACUGCUGAUGAUCUGUUCCCGCUGUUCGAUAAGUACGGGAAGGUCGUGGAUAUCUUCAUCCCGAGGGACCGAAGGACCGGCGAGUCACGUGGCUUUGCAUUUGUUCGCUAUAAGUAUGCGGAUGAGGCACAAAAGGCAGUGGAGAGGCUUGAUGGAAGAGUCGUUGAUGGCCGGGAGAUAACAGUGCAGUUUGCAAAGUAUGGGCCUAAUGCAGAGAGAAUUCAGAAGGGCAGGGUCGUUGAAACGGUUCCUAGGUCAAGGCACAGAUCAAGAAGUCGCAGCCCUCGGAGAAGUAACUUUUCUAGGUACCGAGAUGACUACAGAGAAAGGGAUUCUCGAAGGAGGAGCCGCAGCAGAAGUCGGGACAGGUACCGCGAGAGGGACAGGGAUGGCCGUGGGAGGAGCAGGAGUCCAAGUGCAAGUCCUAAUUACUCGAAAGGUCGGGGCAGGGACCGAUAUGAUGACGAGCGUAGGAGCCGAAGUCGAUCAGUUGACAGUGCCUCUCCUCGGCGGAGCCGGAGCCCCCGCAGGAGCCGCUCUCCUACUAGGAGCCCUCGUGAAGAUGGGAGUCCCGAUAGGCGCAGUCAUGAUAGACGAUCUCCAACACAAAGUGCUUCCCCCAGAGGUCGACCUGCCGAUUCUCGAAGUCAUUCUCCUCGAAAUUCGGGCGUCGAUGAAUGAAUGUGGAUGGAGGACUGCAGUGUGUGAAGCAUGCUGGCGUGCUUAUCUCCUUUUGUGGCUUUUGAGUACUGGAUCAUGAUCAAUGGCUGUCCCUUAUAAAUUUUAAUGCUACUUUUGUAAUGUUCGGGGUGGAGAGAUGGGCUGCUGAUAUGUUGAUAGUAGCUGUUGGUGCUUUUUGUAAAUCGUUGAUGGAUGGUCGUGAUUUGGAUGAUGCUUGCAUCAGUGUGCUGGGUGUAGCGGUAGAUAGCUCGGGGUGGAACAAUAACUAGUAUUUCAAAAAUGACCUGAUUGGUAAGAUCUUUUCCCUUAUAUAUAACCAUUUCUAGUAAAUCUCCUAUGUUUUGGGUUCUAAUUUUCAACUUGGCUGUCGUCACUGCGGCUGCUGCUGAUCGUCCCACUAAUAAGAACCUAAAAGCCUGGGUCUUUUGCUGUGAUGGUUGGAGAGGUGGGUCCAAGUGUUGACGUGCUUGACCAGUAGCUGAUGCUGCAUGUGCAAGCGGAGCUUGGAUCUGAAAAUAUUGAUGAGGAUUCAAAAUGCAAAACCUCUUCUGCUGAUCCCAUUGAAGGGGACUACUGAGAUAGUAGAAUCAGUACGUGGUUGUAGCACUUGAAGUUUGUAGCUGGUUUCCAAUUCUCAGAUUCGUGUUUACGCAGAUUUAAGUUUACUCCCUUCCGGAACUCCUUCCAUGUUCGUAGGAAGCAUUUGCUUCUUCUUCUGGGUGCUGCUUUUUCUGUUGUUGAUUACUUCACAGGUGGAUAUGUUUGCUUCUAAAGCCCUCCAUUAUCCUUGAGUUGAGUUCAUGCUGCUAGAACACACCAAUAGCUCAGUGUUCUGUUAAUUACUUGUGGAGACUUUUUGGGUAUGGAUCUAUUGGCCGUUGUCUCUUUUAUGAAUGCCUAUUGGCAGUUGGCUCAUUUCACCAAGUGUCGUUGAGAAUCAAUGGAGAGGUCCAUCUAUAGGGACGUGGGAAUAGCUUCGUGUGGUCAUUCAUUUUGGAUUUUUGAGCCGUAAUGAGUUGAGGGGUUUGCCUGUACCAGGUUAUUAUUGGGGUCCAAAUCAGUAAAUAAUGAAGUCUGUAUCAGUGAUCUUUUUUGCUCAAAGUAAUCAGAAGAUCACCAUAGUUUUGCA
Molecule: non-coding RNA, 1994 nt
Organism: Punica granatum (pomegranate)
Lineage: Eukaryota; Viridiplantae; Streptophyta; Magnoliopsida; Myrtales; Lythraceae
Source: RefSeq, a predicted model, not a curated record